RNAcentral lists this ribosomal RNA (432 nucleotides) under uncultured bacterium. Its description in RNAcentral is "partial 16S ribosomal RNA". It matches the Rfam family "Bacterial small subunit ribosomal RNA", at positions 29 to 506 of the family's 1533-position model. The record is from RNAcentral.
AACGAACGCUGGCGGCAUGCCUAACACAUGCAAGUCGAACGAGACCUUCGGGUCUAGUGGCGCACGGGUGCGUAACGCGUGGGAACCUGCCCUUAGGGUCGGAAUAACUCCCCGAAAGGGGUGCUAAUACCGGAUAAUGUCUUCGGACCAAAGAUUUAUCGCCGUUGGAUGGGCCCGCGUUGGAUUAGCUAGUUGGUAGGGUAAAAGCCUACCAAGGCGACGAUCCAUAGCUGGUCUGAGUGGAUGAUCAGCCACACUGGGACUGAGACACGGCCCAGACUCCUACGGGAGGGAGCAGUGGGGAAAAUUGGAAAAUGGGCGAAAGCCUGAUCCAGCAAUGCCGCGUGAGUGAUGAAGGCCUUAGGGUUGUAAAGCUCUUUUACCCGGGAUGAUAAUGACAGUACCGGGAGAAGAAGCUCCGGCUAACUCCGU